Molecule: ribosomal RNA, 840 nt
Filed under: uncultured Bacteroidota bacterium
Lineage: Bacteria; Pseudomonadati; Bacteroidota
Description: bacterial SSU rRNA
Rfam family: Bacterial small subunit ribosomal RNA
Source: RNAcentral
AAACGAUAUUGGAAGCUUGCUUCCGAUAGGCGUCGACCGGCGCACGGGUGAGUAACGCGUAUCCAACCUGCCCACCACUUGGGGAUAACCUUGCGAAAGUAAGACUAAUACCCAAUGAUAUCUCUAGAAGACAUCUGAAAGGGAUUAAAGAUUUAUCGGUGAUGGAUGGGGAUGCGUCUGAUUAGCUUGUUGGCGGGGUAACGGCCCACCAAGGCGACGAUCAGUAGGGGUUCUGAGAGGAAGGUCCCCCACAUUGGAACUGAGACACGGUCCAAACUCCUACGGGAGGCAGCAGUGAGGAAUAUUGGUCAAUGGGCGAGAGCCUGAACCAGCCAAGUAGCGUGCAGGAUGACGGCCCUAUGGGUUGUAAACUGCUUUUAUAAGGGAAUAAAGUGAGCCUCGUGAGGCUUUUUGCAUGUACCUUAUGAAUAAGGACCGGCUAAUUCCGUGCCAGCAGCCGCGGUAAUACGGAAGGUCCGGGCGUUAUCCGGAUUUAUUGGGUUUAAAGGGAGCGUAGGCCGGAGAUUAAGCGUGUUGUGAAAUGUAGAUGCUCAACGUCUGCACUGCAGCGCGAACUGGUUUCCUUGAGUACGCACAAAGUGGGCGGAAUUCGUGGUGUAGCGGUGAAAUGCUUAGAUAUCACGAAGAACUCCGAUUGCGAAGGCAGCUCACUGGAGCGCAACUGACGCUGAAGCUCGAAAGUGCGGGUAUCGAACAGGAUUAGAUACCCUGGUAGUCCGCACGGUAAACGAUGGAUGCCCGCUGUUGGUCUGAAUAGGUCAGCGGCCAAGCGAAAGCAUUAAGCAUCCCACCUGGGGAGUACGCCGGCAACGGUGCAAC